This 756-nucleotide ribosomal RNA is filed under the name uncultured bacterium. Its description in RNAcentral is "bacterial SSU rRNA". It matches the Rfam family "Bacterial small subunit ribosomal RNA", at positions 8 to 753 of the family's 1533-position model. The record is from RNAcentral.
AGAGUUUGAUCCUGGCUCAGAUUGAACGCUGGCGGCAGGCCUAACACAUGCAAGUCGAACGGUAACAGGAAGAAGCUUGCUUCUUUGCUGACGAGUGGCGGACGGGUGAGUAAUGUCUGGGAAACUGCCUGAUGGAGGGGGAUAACUACUGGAAACGGUAGCUAAUACCGCAUAACGUCGCAAGACCAAAGAGGGGGACCUUCGGGCCUCUUGCCAUCGGAUGUGCCCAGAUGGGAUUAGCUAGUAGGUGGGGUAACGGCUCACCUAGGCGACGAUCCCUAGCUGGCCUGAGAGGGUGAUCGGCCACACUGGGACUGAGACACGGCCCAGACUCCUACGGGAGGCAGCAGUAGGGAAUCUUCGGCAAUGGGGGCAACCCUGACCGAGCAACGCCGCGUGAGUGAAGAAGGUUUUCGGAUCGUAAAGCUCUGUUGUAAGUCAAGAACGAGUGUGAGAGUGGAAAGUUCACACUGUGACGGUAGCUUACCAGAAAGGGACGGCUAACUACGUGCCAGCAGCCGCGGUAAUACGUAGGUCCCGAGCGUUGUCCGGAUUUAUUGGGCGUAAAGCGAGCGCAGGCGGUUUGAUAAGUCUGAAGUUAAAGGCUGUGGCUCAACCAUAGUUCGCUUUGGAAACUGUCAAACUUGAGUGCAGAAGGGGAGAGUGGAAUUCCAUGUGUAGCGGUGAAAUGCGUAGAUAUAUGGAGGAACACCGGUGGCGAAAGCGGCUCUCUGGUCUGUAACUGACGCUGAGGCU